Molecule: long non-coding RNA, 222 nt
Organism: Thalassophryne amazonica
Lineage: Eukaryota; Metazoa; Chordata; Actinopteri; Batrachoidiformes; Batrachoididae
Exons: 3
Source: RefSeq, a predicted model, not a curated record
UAUGGAAGUGAGGAUUAAAAACAGCAACCAGUAGUUUUCUUUGUCGUUCGUUCUCCUCUUUUAAACCACAAAGUUUCUCCUCGUAUUCUGCUGUUGUUCUUUCAAACAGCUCAAAUAUCUCUUCUUCAUCAUCUGCAGGUAGUCGCUGCUUCAGUAACGCUCUCAGAAUUUGGACUUUAGACAUUUUUCACACAAUGACACAAACUGUUUCUACACACAAAA